This 99-nucleotide transfer RNA is filed under the name Kocuria turfanensis. RNAcentral's name for it is "tRNA-Gly". The record is from RNAcentral. Lineage: Bacteria; Bacillati; Actinomycetota; Actinomycetes; Micrococcales; Micrococcaceae.
GCCUGUACUGGGAGGCGGCCCGCCGCCUCGGGGUCUCCCCCCAGGAGGUCGCGGUGGUCGAAGACACCGUGGCCGGCGUCCGAGCCGCCCGCGCGGGCG